AGGAUUUCCUUGAUGAUUUUUGGCUCUAUAUUCGUAAGGAAGCAAAUCCUAGGAACAAUCACGUGAGCUUGGAAGGAGACCUUUCCCCAGCUGAGCCUCAGCCUGGGCCAUCACCUGCAUCUGGACUGAAGACCCAAAGAAACUACUCCAUCAGGAAUUGUUUGAGACCAUGCAUUAUGUGGACACUCAUAUCGUGGAAUUAUAUUGCCAAUUGGCAUUCCUAAAGCUUCUACGCUAGCAGAACCUGCAGUCCAGUUAUCACAAAAAAAUGGAAAACAUGAAAGCUAGAAUUUUUGUAGGGAUUGUAUUGAAUCUGCAUAUACAUUUGGAAAGUAUAAGCAUCUUGGUUUGGAGUAAUUCACCAGUGAAGUCUUCUCAACCUGGGCAAUCAUGUGAGCUUGGAAGAUGAUGCAUCCCCAUCUCAUCUUUCAGGUGAAACCUCAGCCUUGGCCAUCACCUACAUCUGGAUUUCUGACCCAGAGAAACUGCUGGAGUACAGUGGCAUGAUUUCAGCUUACCGCAAACUCUGCCUCCUGGAUUCAAACCAUCCUCCGGCCUCAGCCUCCUGAGUAGCUGGGGCAACAGGUGUGAAGGCUGGUCUUAAACUCCUGACCUCAAGUGAUGGACCUGUCUUGGCUUCCAAAAGUGCUGGAAUUACAGGCAUGAGCCACCAUGCCCUGCUAUGAGGUCUUGUUCCUUUGGCCAGGCUGGAGUGCAGUGGCACAGUCAUCACUCACUGUAGCUUCAAACACCUGGGUUCCAGCAUUCAUCCCACUUCAGCCUCCCGUGUAGCCGGGACUACAGAUCCCUACCUUUUUUGUUGGAGAAUGAAAUUUAAAAUGAAGAUUUGGGCACUCAUUGGUUGUACACAUUGUUACUGGUGAACGUGUUGAUUGGAGGCCUUCCUAGCUAACAGAGCAAAGAGUAAAUAUACACAUAUGUUUACAAAUUUCUACAAGUCUCCAUAUGUAUCUGCAUUAAAUUAAACAUGAAUUCCUGCAGCGUCCUCAGUCCCACACGAUCUUAUUCAGCACCAUGUGAAUCUGUCUACCCAUCUCACUAAUCUAUAUGUAGCCUACCACUGUAAUAUUUAACCACCUGAAAAUGCAGGCAUAGUGGUUUCAGAAUAAGAAACACACAACCCCAUGAGAAACACCCUUACCACCUGUUUAUGUAUACCAACUGCUUAUGUAUAAAUCCUUUAGCCUUUAGACAGAAUCUGCACUUAUUAUGCAAGUUGCUUAGGAAGGCUUAUUUUUCCCCUUCCUUCAGUGGAUUAUUUCAUAGAUUUGUAUAAAGUAUUUUCUCUGCAUUUCUUCCUGGACUGUUCCUAUCUACUAAAUAAGUUAUUUUGUUAAUUUACAUACUUUUAGCUUCACUCUUUGUGUUAUAAAGUUUUCUGGGAGUUGAAAAACUGUACCUUUUAUCCACGUUACAGUAGCAUACAUAAUAAUAUACAAAGAGAAAUUUUCUAUCUUUACAGAUUUGUCUUUCCUUUUUGCUGAGACCCGGGUAACCAAUAAACUCUUUACUGUCUUUAUACU
Molecule: long non-coding RNA, 1544 nt
Organism: Homo sapiens (human)
Lineage: Eukaryota; Metazoa; Chordata; Mammalia; Primates; Hominidae
Gene: PWRN4
Product: Prader-Willi region non-protein coding RNA 4
Source: Ensembl